GGGCUUGACAUCCCACGAACCUGCCCGAAAAGGUGGGGUGCCCGCAAGGGAGCGUGGAGACAGGUGGUGCAUGGCUGUCGUCAGCUCGUGUCGUGAGAUGUUGGGUUAAGUCCCGCAACGAGCGCAACCCUCACCCCUAGUUGCCACCGGGUUAAGCCGAGCACUCAAGGGGAACUGCCAGCGUCAAGCUGGAGGAAGGCGGGGAUGACGUCAAGUCAUCAUGCCCCUUACGCCCUGGGCUACACACAUGCUACAAUGGCCAGUACAAAGGGACGCGAGACUGCGAAGUGGAGCUAAUCCCAAAAAGCUGGUCUAAGUUCAGAUUGCAGCCUGCAACUCGACUGCAUGAAGGAGGAAUCGCUAGUAAUCGCGUAUCAGCCCGGCGCGGUGAAUACGUUCCCGGGCCUUGUACACACCGCCCGUCACACCACGAAAGCUGUCUGUACUCGAAGUCGCUGAG
Molecule: ribosomal RNA, 460 nt
Filed under: NC10 bacterium enrichment culture
Lineage: Bacteria; Methylomirabilota (SeqCode)
Description: bacterial SSU rRNA
Rfam family: Bacterial small subunit ribosomal RNA
Source: RNAcentral